RNAcentral lists this unclassified non-coding RNA (416 nucleotides) under Philotheca nutans. Its description in RNAcentral is "partial external transcribed spacer". The record is from RNAcentral. Lineage: Eukaryota; Viridiplantae; Streptophyta; Magnoliopsida; Sapindales; Rutaceae.
GUGCAUCGAACUGCCGGCUAUCCAUCCGCUUCAUUCUUUCCCCAAGUGGAGCUUCUUCCUUGCGGGUGCGUAUGGUAUCCUGUGCUGCUUACCCAUGAAAUGGUAUUCGAUGGCUUUGUUAUGUCGAUCUGCCAUGUGCCCUUUGGGGUGCGGGGCAGACGCGAGGCGGGCUCUGUGYUCCUGGUGUACUCAACGCAAUGUUUGCUUGGUCACUGUGGCCCACAGAGUCUUAGCUYGCUCUCUUGGAUGCGGAAUACAACGUGUGGGCGUGAGGUCUUGGCCUCGAUUCGUCCAAAGCACUGUUCCUUGACUUGAGCGACUGCCUGCGCCCGUUUUGAUCUUCCCGACCAAGGCCUCGUAAUGGGGCUUWCUGGACGAGGGUUGCUCAUGGGGGCGUCGGCAUCGAAGAGGAAUGC